GAUGAACGCUAGCUACAGGCUUAACACAUGCAAGUCGAGGGGCAGCAUGAACUUAGCUUGCUAAGUUUGAUGGCGACCGGCGCACGGGUGAGUAACACGUAUCCAACCUGCCGAUGACUCGGGGAUAGCCUUUCGAAAGAAAGAUUAAUACCCGAUGGCAUAGUUCUUCCGCAUGGUAGAACUAUUAAAGAAUUUCGGUCAUCGAUGGGGAUGCGUUCCAUUAGGUUGUUGGCGGGGUAACGGCCCACCAAGCCUUCGAUGGAUAGGGGUUCUGAGAGGAAGGUCCCCCACAUUGGAACUGAGACACGGUCCAAACUCCUACGGGAGGCAGCAGUGAGGAAUAUUGGUAAAUGGACGAGAGUCUGAACCAGCCAAGUAGCGUGAAGGAUGACUGCCCUAUGGGUUGUAAACUUCUUUUAUACGGGAAUAAAGUGAGGCACGUGUGCCUUUUUGUAUGUACCGUAUGAAUAAGGAGCGGCUAACUCCGUG
Molecule: ribosomal RNA, 489 nt
Filed under: uncultured bacterium
Lineage: Bacteria
Description: partial 16S ribosomal RNA
Rfam family: Bacterial small subunit ribosomal RNA
Source: RNAcentral